RNAcentral lists this ribosomal RNA (494 nucleotides) under uncultured bacterium. RNAcentral describes it as "partial 16S ribosomal RNA". It matches the Rfam family "Bacterial small subunit ribosomal RNA", at positions 28 to 507 of the family's 1533-position model. The record is from RNAcentral.
GACGAACGCUGGCGGCGUGCUUAACACAUGCAAGUCGAACGGAAAGGCCUGCUUUCCCUUGUGGUUUGCGGGUACUCGAGUGGCGAACGGGUGAGUAACACGUGAGUGAUCUGCCCCCAACUUGGGUAUAAGCCUGGGAAACUGGGUCUAAUUCCCGAUAGGACUGCAGGGUGGUGCCUGUGGUGGAAAACGAUUUUCUAGUGGUUGGGGAUGAGCUCGCGGCCUAUCAGCUUGGUGGUGGGGUAAUGGCCUACCAAGGCGGCGACGGGUAGCCGGCCUGGGAGGGUGGACGGCGACAUUGGGACUGGGAUACGGCCCAGACUCCUACGGGAGGCAGCAGUGGGGAAUAUUAGACAAUGGGCGGAAGCCUGAUGCAGCGACGCCGCGUGGGGGAUGACGGCCUUCGGGUUGUAAACUCCUUUCGACCGCGAGGAAGCCACCUGGUUGGAAGGGUGGUGACGGUAGUGGUAGAAGAAGCACCGGCUAACUACGUG